Molecule: ribosomal RNA, 460 nt
Filed under: uncultured bacterium
Lineage: Bacteria
Description: partial 16S ribosomal RNA
Rfam family: Bacterial small subunit ribosomal RNA
Source: RNAcentral
CCUACGGGUGGCAGCAGUGAGGAAUAUUGGCCAAUGGACGCAAGUCUGAACCAGCCAUGCCGCGUGCAGGAAGACGGCUCUAUGAGUUGUAAACUGCUUUUGUACGGGGGUAAACGCAGAUACGCGUAUCUGUCUGAAAGUAUCGUACGAAUAAGGAUCGGCUAACUCCGUGCCAGCAGCCGCGGUAAUACGGAGGAUUCAAGCGUUAUCCGGAUUUAUUGGGUUUAAAGGGUGCGUAGGCGGUCGGAUAAGUUAGAGGUGAAAUCCCGAGGCUCAACUUCGGAAUUGCCUGUGAUACUGUUCGGCUAGAGAGUAGUUGCGGUAGGCGGAAUGUAUGGUGUAGCGGUGAAAUGCUUAGAGAUCAUACAGAACACCGAUUGCGAAGGCAGCAUACCGGCGCCAAACUGACGCUGAGGCACGAAAGCGUGGGGAGCAAACAGGAUUAGAUACCCUGGUAGUC